UACGUAGGCAGCAAGCGUUGUUCGGAAUUACUGGGCGUAAAGAGUGUGUAGGCGGUUCUCUAAGUUCCGUGUGAAAUCUCCCGGCUUAACUGGGAGGGUGCGCGGAAGACUGGAGGGCUGGAGUAUGGGAGAGGAAAGCGGAAUUCCUGGUGUAGCGGUGAAAUGCGUAGAUAUCGGAAGGAACACCGGUGGCGAAAGCGGCGCGCUGGGCCUCUUCUGACGCUGAGGCGCGAAAGCCAGGGGAGCAAACGGG
This 253-nucleotide ribosomal RNA is filed under the name uncultured bacterium. RNAcentral describes it as "partial 16S ribosomal RNA". It matches the Rfam family "Bacterial small subunit ribosomal RNA", at positions 524 to 776 of the family's 1533-position model. The record is from RNAcentral.